Molecule: ribosomal RNA, 336 nt
Filed under: uncultured Acidobacteriota bacterium
Lineage: Bacteria; Pseudomonadati; Acidobacteriota
Description: bacterial SSU rRNA
Rfam family: Bacterial small subunit ribosomal RNA
Source: RNAcentral
AAUCAACGCUGGCGGCGUGCCUAACACAUGCAAGUCGAACGCGAAAGGGGCUUCGGCCCUGAGUAGAGUGGCAGACGGGUGAGUAACGCGUGGGUGACCUACCCUCGAGCGGGGGAUAACGUCCCGAAAGGGACGCUAAUACCGCAUGACAUCCUGCCCUUGGACGGGCGGUGAUCAAAGCUGGGGAUCGCAAGACCUGGCACUUGAGGAGGGGCCCGCGUCCGAUUAGCUAGUUGGUGGGGUAAUGGCUCACCAAGGCUUCGAUCGGUAGCCGGCCUGAGAGGGCGGACGGCCACACUGGGACUGAGACACGGCCCAGACUCCUACGGGUGGCUG